This 471-nucleotide ribosomal RNA is filed under the name uncultured bacterium. RNAcentral's name for it is "bacterial SSU rRNA". It matches the Rfam family "Bacterial small subunit ribosomal RNA", at positions 355 to 825 of the family's 1533-position model. The record is from RNAcentral.
UGGGGAAUUGUUCGCAAUGGGCGCAAGCCUGACGACGCAACGCCGCGUGGAGGAUGAAGGUCUUCGGAUCGUAAACUCCUGUUGCCCGGGACGAAUAGCUUCGACCUAACACGUCGGAGUAUGACGGUACCGGGUGAGGAAGCCCCGGCUAACUCUGUGCCAGCAGCCGCGGUAAUACAGAGGGGGCAAGCGUUGUUCGGAAUUACUGGGCGUAAAGGGCGCGUAGGCGGCCUGUUAAGUCGAACGUGAAAUCCCUGGGCUCAACCCAGGAACUGCGUCCGAUACUGGCUGGCUUGAAUCCGGGAGAGGGAUGCGGAAUUCCAGGUGUAGCGGUGAAAUGCGUAGAUAUCUGGAGGAACACCUGAGGUGAAGACGGGUUGCUGGGCUGACACUGACGCUGAGGCGCGAAAGCCAGGGGAGCAAACGGGAUUAGAUACCCUAGUAGUCCCUGAGCGGGCUGGCAAGGCGCAU